RNAcentral lists this ribosomal RNA (445 nucleotides) under uncultured bacterium. Its description in RNAcentral is "partial 16S ribosomal RNA". It matches the Rfam family "Bacterial small subunit ribosomal RNA", at positions 354 to 796 of the family's 1533-position model. The record is from RNAcentral.
GUGAGGAAUAUUGGACAAUGGGCGCAAGCCUGAUCCAGCCAUGCCGCGUGCAGGAAGACGCAUCUAUGGUGUGUAAACUGCUUUUGUACGGGAAGAAACACUCCCUCGUGAGGGAGCUUGACGGUACCGUAAGAAUAAGGAUCGGCUAACUCCGUGCCAGCAGCCGCGGUAAUACGGAGGAUCCAAGCGUUAUCCGGAAUCAUUGGGUUUAAAGGGUCCGUAGGCGGUUUAAUAAGUCAGUGGUGAAAGCCCAUCGCUCAACGAUGUAACGGCCAUUGAUACUGUUAGACUUGAAUUACAAGGAAGUAACUAGAAUAUGUAGUGUAGCGGUGAAAUGCUUAGAUAUUACAUGGAAUACCAAGUGCGAAGGCAGGUUACUACUUGUGGAUGGACGCUGAUGGACGAAAGCGUGGGGAGCGAACAGGAUUAGAAACCCGUGUAGUCC